Non-coding RNA from Poecilia reticulata (guppy), 2818 nucleotides. The record is from RefSeq and is a predicted model, not a curated record. NCBI's taxonomy places the organism in Eukaryota, Metazoa, Chordata, Actinopteri, Cyprinodontiformes, Poeciliidae.
AUUUCAAGGUAAUGGGUAAUACUUUUCACCAGAAAUGCAAGGAACUCAGAAAACAUGGAAAUAUUUUAAUUAAAUACAUAAUAUAAAAAAAAAUWAAUGUUAAAUUUUGUAGCACUAGAAGUGACCCUGAACCUGGCAGAAAGCUGGUCAGAGUUCACAGGAAGCUGUAUGGGACUAAAAACAGGCWUUUCUKAAAGAAAACCUGUUGGAUUGCAGAAUGGGAGUGAGGUUCAUUUUCCAGCAGGUCAGUGGCUCUGAAUAUACAGUCAGAGCCAUAAUGAUUAGAUCAAACGGUCAGAUCAAAGCAUAUUCAUGUGCUAAAAUGGCAAACUGAAAGUGUAGACCUGAAUCCCAUUGAGAAUCUGUGGCAAGACUUGAGAAUCACGGUCCAAGGAUUCUCUCCAUCCUUUUUCAAAGARCCUGAGCUGCUCUGCAAAGGAGAAUGGGCCAAAAUCUGCCUGAACGUGGAGAGCUGAAAGAAACGUACCUUAAAAGACUGUAAUAGCAGGAAAAUGAUUUUUUUUUCCAUCUCAGAGGAACUGAAUGCAUGAAUGUUUAAAUGUUCUAUCAGUUUUCUUCCACUUUGUAAUUGCUGUAUGCUCCACUUUGUACUCUACGACAUAAAACCAAAUUAAAUAAGUUGGUAUUUGUGGCUGUAAUGUAACAGAAAUAAGGGAUGUGAAUAUUUUGCCAAGGCACUGUAUGAUAUUUUAGUCCAUAUGGCAUCAGAACCGUCAACUCUAUGUUGCAUUCGUAUCCAUAUUUUGGAAGAUUAAAGUUUUAUUCACUUUAACAAUUAAAACUGUGUAUUUUAAACAUUUGAGUAUAUAUUAGGUAAUUUAUAUGAACAACAGUAAAAAUUGCCUCAAAAUUGUGGAAAACAUAAAUCUUUCCAGGGUCUAAAUCAGUUUUACCAGUUAAAUCUGUAGGCAGAUGACUUGUUGACUUACAUACAAUAAGACUUAAGCCUCCCACAGUCCUAAUUUGACACUUAUCAGUUCCCAAAAUUGAUAAAACAAUUAAAAACUUGUAAAAAAAACAAAAAAACAUGCAGGGUAACAAGCUCACACUGGGUCAACUCGAGCCAUUUAGGAUGCGAGGUAACCUCUUAAUUUUAUGUUUCUUCUGCUUGGAAGUAAUGUUAAUAUUUCAGUUUGGCCCAGCCAGUUUUGACUUAAAUCUAUGGAAGCAUCCACAAAUAUUUUCAGUAUUAGAAGUGAGAAUGGUUUCACUGAUAUAAUGGAAAAAAGGCAWUCUYRUAAAUGAUGGAAAAGGGUGUAAAUGUUUAUUUUCCACAAGCAAUAUAAAAAUAAUAGAAUGUACCUUUUGUACUUUAUUUUUUGUUGCAUUUUCGGUAACACCAGUUUUAGUUCCAGUCAGAAAUAAACUUCUUGAUUAAAUGAAAAAUAACUUGAACUCYGAGCCCAUCAGGCAGUUGGAUGAUAAUUUUGAGCCCACAUUUCUGUAAAGAUGAAAAGUAUCAAAAUGAUUCUUAACGUUAUCCCCACAGAYGGGUUUCCACAACCUCUUCACGUCUGUGCUGGUCUCACUCGCAUCGCCCUCGACAUUUCUCCCUCUCACUCGGAUAAGGCUAGCAGGUUAAAAAUACACCGACUGUCAGGAUCAGACGUAAAAAUAGACAUGAUUACGGACCAUAUAAAUAACAUAAAUGGAUAGUGGUUUCUGUCAUGUUACACAGACAGUUCCUCACAUGUAACAAUUACCUAAGAAUAGGUUACUAAUUCAGCAUUUCCUGCCAUGGGCUUAUAUUUCUACAGCACAUUUUAGAGAUGCGACUGGGCCCACCUUCCACAGAACAAUCUGUGAGGGAUAUCUGUUUUUAUACCAAAAUGAAGUCAAAUAGCGCCUGACAUCUGUCACUACAGACCUGGUUAUCAGGGGAAAUAUUGAAACAUUAGUGGGUGGAAAAUSCUGUUCUGAGCUCAGCGUGCGUUGAAGUGUGCUUAUAGAAAUUUUUACAAAGACUUGACAGUUGUGCAGGAGACUCKGUAUCUGCACAAAAUGACUUUCUGCAUUAUGCCGUAUUUUCAUGGGGCCUGGAGGAUGUCAGAUCGAACCGCGGCAGCGCAGUCACAUUGUGGCAUGCCUGAACAAACAAAACGGUCCAAAUUCUCUCUUUCAGGCACACUAGGAGAUCAGAUAUCGCUCAGAAAUUAUGAAACUAGACCUUUUAAUACGGUUUUGGAAACCAGCCUCUAAUUUUCAGGCUCUAUUAUGCACUCCUGACUCCAUAGGAAAUCUACGCUGAAUUAAUCAAAUCAAUUAAAAACCAGAAGCACAGAAAGCUCUCUCGCAAUUAAAAAAAAGAAAGGCGGAAGAGAUGUGGCUCGUGACUGUGAGCAGACGCUCCACUGUUGUUUACAGAUGUCUUGUUUAUUCCUAUACGGAGAUACUGAAUAUGUUAUCCGUCUUUGCUGAAAUAUUUUUCAAGAGCUGCUCUGUUCAUCGAUUUUCUCUUUCUUUGCAUCACAACGGUUGUUUUACACAAAACAAUGACCAUCCAGACUCAAUCAGGAUUGUUUAACGGCAUUUCGUUUGCGGAACUGAGRUCUGGGGCGAAGUCGUUUCCCAGUAAACGAGGUGAAAGCCGCAGAGUUUUGACAAUCUUCUCAUGCACACUUUUUGAGUUCUUCAGAAUAAUCAUCUACUUUUAAUACGACACAUUAUUUAGAAGAUGUCAUUGUUUUGUCUGUUGAAAGCUCUUCUCUUUACAUGUCCCUAAUCUACUAGCGCAUGAAUUAAAUUUUAGAGAAUGGUUUUGUGGUUGGGGCGGAUGAGAAAAAAACAAAACAAAAAA